RNAcentral lists this ribosomal RNA (258 nucleotides) under Triticum aestivum (bread wheat). RNAcentral describes it as "partial small subunit ribosomal RNA". Lineage: Eukaryota; Viridiplantae; Streptophyta; Magnoliopsida; Poales; Poaceae. The record is from RNAcentral.
UCGAGGUUCUUCUAGGCCGGCGACGACGACAAACAGAAGUACCACAUGGUGAGCUGGGCCGACAUCUGUAAUCCCAAAGACCAUGGGGGUCUUGGGAUCCUCUCAUCUAGACGCAUGAACAUUGCCCUCCUGACUCGUUGGCUGUGGCGUAUUGCUAAUGGGGAGGGAGGCCUCUGGCUCACCAUCAUCCGCAAUAAAUACCUGCGUGGCCAACCUCUUGCCUUUUGCCAACUUUCGGGCGGGUCUCAGUUUUGGUAG